RNAcentral lists this long non-coding RNA (885 nucleotides) under Amphimedon queenslandica. RNAcentral describes it as "uncharacterized LOC109593078". Lineage: Eukaryota; Metazoa; Porifera; Demospongiae; Haplosclerida; Niphatidae. The record is from RNAcentral.
GGGUGAUGGGGAUGAAGAGCAGCCAUUUUGUGCAUAGAUAUAGGAUCGGCUGUUGGGAAACAUACAUUAAUGUUAGUGUGGUAUGGUUGACCGAAGGAUGAUCAGUUACAGACAGGUAUUCUUUGUUAGUAUUAUUAUUAUUAUUACUAUUAUUAUCAACAUCAUCAAAACUAUUCAUAAUUUUAGAUCGUCAUGUGAUUUGUGCUGAAUUUCGAUUAAAUCCCAGUUGUGAGUCCUGUAAUCGUAACUCAAGUUUAUUAGUUACUAGAUACAGAAGCUCGUACUAGCAUUUUUCUUGUACUGGUAUAUUACCAUCACAGUACUGCCAUAUUUUUGUCGGCAUCACUGGGCACAGUUGGGAAGAGGUACACAGAUACAGGAGGCUCCUCACCAUCCCAAUAUCUAUUCAACCCUAUAUACAUAAUGUUUAUAUUUUUAAAAAUUUAGAAUAAUAUUUUUGUAUUUACUUCUUCCAGUAGAUCGUUGAAUGUUACAACUGCUACCAGUACUAGGAUCUGAAUGAGGACCAUGUUGGGGUCUUUUGUUGGAACCACUUAUACUUGAUGAUGGUGGCUGAUAUAUGGUAGUCGGCAGGGCUGUCUGGUCCCAGUGGUGGCGGUUCUUGGGCUGGUUUUCUGUGUAGUAGUGAGGGCUAUUCCCUUGCCACUAUCACUUAUUACCUGCCUGACAGCAUCAUUGACCGUGUUUCUUAGGCUGUUGGCAGAUUUUUCAGAAUAUACAAUAUAAUAUUUGAUAAUAAUGUAAAAUUAUUACUUCAAGUCAAUUAUACCAUUUCUCUCCUUGCUAUGCUUUCUAGGUGUGCUUGUAGGUUAACUCUCUCACCUUUGCUAAUUUUAAUGUUUUUAUAAUGCGUUUUGCUAGUGA